This 1783-nucleotide long non-coding RNA is filed under the name Equus caballus (horse). RNAcentral describes it as "lncRNA (ENSECAG00000054940.1)". The record is from RNAcentral. Lineage: Eukaryota; Metazoa; Chordata; Mammalia; Perissodactyla; Equidae.
CCGCUCGGGGCGGCUCGGGGGCGGUUGCGGCUCUGCUUUCUCCGCAGCCUGUCGGCCUUGGUGGCCGGCCCCUAUGGUUCCGUAGCGUCGCGCUCGGCUGGGCAGGGCGGCCUGGCCACGCCCUUCGGUCCUGCUGUUUGCUGUCCUCGGCCCGGGGUACGAGACUUUUCCUUGACUCCAGAGUUCGUGGGCUGCGCUGCUGCCUCGCUGCCCCAGAGCCUGAGAGCCGUGGAGCGAGGGCUGAGCCCAGGGACAUGACCGGCCCUCCAGAGCCGGUUCCUUCAGAGCCUCCCCAACGCCCGGGGUGCACCUAUAUACCUUGUGCAUUGCUGUCGGCACACACAACAGUGCUUGUUGAGCGUCUGCUAUGUAUCACUGUACAUGAUUAACCCUAAUGUGUAUUUUUAAACGCCGCCCUGCUGGUCUGGUGGUUAAGAUUGGGCGUUCUCACUGGGUUCCUAUCCCGGUCAGGGAACCACACCACCCGCUGCGUUGUCAUACUGUGGCGGCUGUGUGUAGCUGUGAUGCUGAAAGCUGUACCACCGGUAUUUCAAACGCCAGCAGAGUCACCCAUGGUGGACAGGUUUCAGCGGAGCUUCCAGACUGAGACAGACUAGGAAGAACGACCUGGCCACCAAUUUCUUUAAAAGUUCACCAAGAAAACCCUACGAAUAGCAGCGGAGCAUUGUCUGAUAAAGCACUGGUCUGAUACAGCACGAGAAGGUAGGGCCUAUCAUCCCUAUGUUGCUGCUGAAGAAGGAAUUAACUGCUAGGAAAUAGAAGCAAGAUUGGCACUCAAACUGUCUUGCUUCAGAUGGAACUUCCUCCAACUCUCAGAGGCUCCAGAGGCGGUACCAGGACAUACAGAAGCCCUGGUUAUUUAUUUAUUGGGAUAGACUUCAUAUAUCAUAUACUUCACCCAUUUAAAGCAUUCAUUCAAUGGUGUUGGUAUAUUUACAUAGUAGUGCAACCAUUACCACAAUCAAUUUGAGAACAUUUUCACCACUCCAAAAGAAACCCUGUAUCUUUUAGCUAUUACCCGAGUCUUCCCAACUCCUCCAGUCCUAGCCAACCACUGAUCUUUCCGUCUCUUAGAUUUAUGUAUUCUGAGCUUUUAAUAUAAAUGGAAUCGUAUAUAUGGUCUUUUUGUGACUAGCUUUUUUCCCUUAGCAUAUUUUCAGGGUUUAUCCAUAUUGUAGCAUGUAUGAGUAUUUCUUUCCUUUCCGGGGCUGAAUAAUACUGCAUUGUAUGGACAUAGCACAUUUUAUUUAUCCGUUCAUCAAAAGGUUGUUUCUACAAUUAUGAAUCCUUAUUCACUGCUACGAACAUUCAUGUACAAGUUUUUGUGCAGACAUAUUUUCAUUUCUCUUGGAGAUUGAUCUAUCUAGGAGUGAAUUCCUGGGUCGUAUGAUAAUGAUAUUAAACCAUUUGAAGAACUGCCAGACUGUUUUCCAUCAGCAUUGUAUGAGGAUUCCGAUUUCUCCAUGUCCUUGCCAAUGCUUGUUAUUAUCUGACGUUUUUGUGUGUGUGAGGAAAAUUGGCCCUGAGCUAACAUCUGUGCCAAUCUUUCUCUAUUUUGUAUGUGGGAUGCUGCCACAGCAUGUCUUGAUGAGCAGUGUGUAGGUCCAUGCCUAGGAUCUGGACCGAUAAACCCUAGGCCACUGAAGCAGAGCAUGAGAACUUAACCACUACACCACCGGCACAGCCCCUGUCUGACUUUUUGAUUAUAGCCAUCCUAGUGAGUGUGAAGUGAUAUCUUGUGGUUUUGCUUUGUAUUUUCCUG